Molecule: ribosomal RNA, 483 nt
Filed under: uncultured bacterium
Lineage: Bacteria
Description: partial 16S ribosomal RNA
Rfam family: Bacterial small subunit ribosomal RNA
Source: RNAcentral
AUUGAACGCUGGCGGCAGGCCUAACACAUGCAAGUCGAGCGGAUGAAGGGAGCUUGCUCCUGGAUUCAGCGGCGGACGGGUGAGUAAUGCCUAGGAAUCUGCCUGGUAGUGGGGGAUAACGUCAGGAAACGGGCGCUAAUACCGCAUACGUCCUGAGGGAGAAAGUGGGGGAUCUUUGGACCUCACGCUAUCAGAUGAGCCUAGGUCGGAUUAGCUAGUGGGUGGGGUAAAGGCCUACCAAGGCGACGUUCCGUAACUGGUCUGAGAGGAUGAUCAGUCACCCUGGAACUGAGACACGGUCCAGACUCCUACGGGAGGCAGCAGUGGGGAAUAUUGGACAAUGGGCGAAAGCCUGAUCCAGCCAUGCCGCGUGGGUGAAGAAGGUCUUCGGAUUGUAAAGCACUUUAAGUUGGGAGGAAGGGCAGUAAGUUAAUACCUUGCUGUUUGGACGUUACCAACAGAAUAAGCACCGGCUAACUUCGU